UUACUUCACAUCUCGUGCUUUUUUAUCUGAUUCUUUUUCAUAGCUUAAAAUUCUGCUUUGUCCAGAGAUGAAUUGUGUCUUUUUGUCUGAAGUAGUUAUUUGGUUUUGUCUACGCUUUGUUAUUUCUUUGGUUGUUUGUUGACUCUUAUCUUUGUGUGAUAUCAUAGGAAGGCUAAGGCAAUUAGAGGACGUGUAUAACAAAAUUGUUAUACCUCUGUGGUGUACAAUGUUUUGUACAUUAUCGAAAUUUCUUUACAUUCCUUACAUAAUAGUUUUGCAGAAGCAUUGUUAUGAAAUGUGCUUUAACUUUAGCGCUGGAGAUUUUAAAAUUAGAUGCAUGAGAACCACUAUGGAUUGACCUAAUUGUGUUGAGGCAUGUGAGAAAAAUGAAGGAACGUGGGGAGAUUAGGUUCAAACUUCAUAAUGGCCACCUACCUAAGACAAAAUCCUACAAGUCUUUUGAUAACAAAAUGUUGUAGAGCCAAAACCACUGUCCAGCUCUUAUGUGGAGCUUGUGGGUGCAAAGGAGUAGGAGAAUUUUCAAAGAUAAGUUUUAUUUCCUUGAUUUACUUUUGUGCUGAUUUCAGUUAAAUACUUCUUCGUGGUGUUAUAACUAUUGUAAAUUCUUUUGUAAUGUUCCUAUUUCCUUGAUUCUUGUGGAUUGCAAUCUAUUUGUAACUUGUAAGUAGUUCCUUGAGGAGGGCUUUCCCACCACCCAAUCCUUAGGAUGUUGGGUUUUGCCUUUUUGAAUGAAUACUACCCCCCCCCCCCCCCCCCCCCCCCC
This is a long non-coding RNA of Cucumis melo (muskmelon), 784 nucleotides long. RefSeq lists it as uncharacterized. The record is from RefSeq and is a predicted model, not a curated record. The transcript is spliced from 2 exons. NCBI's taxonomy places the organism in Eukaryota, Viridiplantae, Streptophyta, Magnoliopsida, Cucurbitales, Cucurbitaceae.